Yarrowia lipolytica CLIB122 is the source of this 75-nucleotide non-coding RNA. The record is from the annotation of a RefSeq genome assembly. Lineage: Eukaryota; Fungi; Ascomycota; Dipodascomycetes; Dipodascales.
GGUCUAGUGGUGUAAUGGUUAUCACGUCUCGCUCACAUGCCGAGGAGGCUCGGAGUUCGAUCCUCCGCUGGAUCA